Paramormyrops kingsleyae is the source of this 1215-nucleotide non-coding RNA. Lineage: Eukaryota; Metazoa; Chordata; Actinopteri; Osteoglossiformes; Mormyridae. The record is from RefSeq and is a predicted model, not a curated record.
UCAGUUUUUUUUUCUAAAUUCUAACACAAAUUGUAACGCAGACAAAGGUUGAUUAAACAAACAAAAUGUUUAUUGGCAGCUUGGAUAAUCUGCUUAUACACUCUGUUAAACACAUCACUCAGAAUCCUGAACCUCUACAAUACUGAACAACUGGCAAUGGCAUUACAUGCAUGACAGAUGUUAUUUGAUGCUAUUUGUUUCUUGUGGUUACUGUAAUGAAUUACAUUGUCAUGGUCAUUAUCAGGGACUGUCAACCAGCCUGUGCCUCAACAAACAUACCCCAUUGCAAGACUCAUUUGUGUCCGUGGCAAAAUGUUUUGACUGAGAAAAAAACUAUGUAAUCUACAUUUUAAAAGCCAUGUCAAUGGUAAAAAUUGUAUUUCAGUCAAAAUGUCCAUCAGAAUUCACCAUGAUGAUAGCCCAUAGCCAUUAUAUCAGACAUCUGUCAAAACCUGUGUAAAAGGAAGCUAAUGUCUUACAUUGUCCAUGUGGGAAUGUUUAAGAGUUUGAUGAGUACUUAAGUAUGUAGACUGCUGGUUGACCAUAAGUUUAUUUGGUUGCAUGAAAAUUAGUCAUGAACUGAAAAGUAAAUACCACUUUAUGGUCAGUCGAUUAUCUGUUUCACUAGCCCUGUCAAUAGUAAAUUUACUAACAGAUGUUUUCAUUUUGGGAUCACAUGGCACUCAGGAGAUGGAAGACUGGUCAUAUUCAUCUGGUUCCUUUGGAUCAUACAAAGACAAGGGAUCACGUGACAAUGAGGAGACUGAAGCAUUGUCCCCCACUGAUCCCAAUGGACCAAACACAGAGGAGGGAUCACAUGACAAUCAGGAGAUGGAGGCAUCAUUAUCUGCUGAUCACAAUGAACCAAACACAGAGGAGGUAUUACUGGGAGAGAAGAACACAGAAGUCUGAAGGAUCUAUGGAGUUUAAUUUUAUAUUUUUGCCUGCAGUCCCAAGUUUACCGGGUCCUGUUGGAUCAACCAGUUACUUGUGUUAGCAGUCAUUAGACUAUUGAUGCUCUUUUACAGUUGACUAUCUAGACCACCUGCUGGUCAAACGGGGAAGGGGCACGGAAGGACCACAGUGGGGGGCUGACCCUGACAAAAAUAUAGCAAGGAAAUCAACAAGUUUAACAGUGUUCUUUUAUGACUUAAAACAACAGAUCAUCUCUCUGUCUAUGUUGAGUGAGUCAGGUGAUUAAAUUGAUUUGUUCCA